Molecule: non-coding RNA, 387 nt
Organism: Equus caballus (horse)
Lineage: Eukaryota; Metazoa; Chordata; Mammalia; Perissodactyla; Equidae
Source: the annotation of a RefSeq genome assembly
AUGGACGGUGGAAUCACUCAGAGCCCAAAAUAUCUGAUCAGAGAGGAAAGACGAGAUGUGAGCCUGGAAUGUGAACAGAAUUUGGAUUACGAUGCCAUGUACUGGUACCGACAGGACCCAGGGCAGGGGCUGAGACUGAUCCACUAUUCGCUGUUUGUAAAAGGUGUUCAGAAAGGAGACAUAUCUGAAGGCUACAGUGCCUCCCGGGAGAAGAAGGCAUCUUUUCCUCUCACUGUGAAAUCAACUCAAAAGAACCAGACAGCCCUGUAUCUCUGUGCCUAUAGUAGAGACAUAGUGAUGAAAGGCCGCUUCCUCUCUGUGCAUAAACAUGUCCCAAGAUCCGCUUCCCCACCAGGUGGCAGGGCUUUUCUGGACUCAGUACCCUGA